RNAcentral lists this ribosomal RNA (507 nucleotides) under uncultured bacterium. RNAcentral describes it as "partial 16S ribosomal RNA". It matches the Rfam family "Bacterial small subunit ribosomal RNA", at positions 899 to 1397 of the family's 1533-position model. The record is from RNAcentral.
ACUCAAAGGAAUUGACGGGGGCCCGCACAAGCGGCGGAGCAUGUUGCUUAAUUCGACGCAACGCGAAGAACCUUACCAAGGCUUGACAUCGCCUGGGAGGCUUCAGAGAUGGGGCUGUCCUUUGGACUGGGUGACAGGUGGUGCAUGGCUGUCGUCAGCUCGUGUCGUGAGAUGUUGGGUUAAGUCCCGCAACGAGCGCAACCCUUGUUCCAUGUUGCCAGCGGCGCUCUUCGGGGCGGCCGGGGACUCAUGGGAGACUGCCGGGGUCAACUCGGAGGAAGGUGGGGAUGACGUCAAGUCAUCAUGCCCCUUAUGUCUUGGGCUGCAAACAUGCUACAAUGGCUGGUACAGAGGGUUGCGAUGCCGUGAGGUGGAGCGAAUCCCUAAAAGCCGGUCUCAGUUCGGAUUGGGGUCUGCAACUCGACCCCAUGAAGUCGGAGUCGCUAGUAAUCGCAGAUCAGCAAUGCUGCGGUGAAUACGUUCCCGGGCCUUGCACACACCGCCCGU